Long non-coding RNA from Peromyscus eremicus (cactus mouse), 753 nucleotides. RefSeq lists it as uncharacterized. The transcript has 3 exons. The record is from RefSeq and is a predicted model, not a curated record. NCBI's taxonomy places the organism in Eukaryota, Metazoa, Chordata, Mammalia, Rodentia, Cricetidae.
UUACAGGGGCACCAGGAUCUGUGCACACUGACCACCUACAGCCCUGGAUUCAACGUUGGUGAAUGGACCUACAAGGAACCUGAAGAUAUCCAGGUCUUUUGACUUCUUGAAGAUGAGUAUUUCUAUUUUCCUGCAAAGACAAAAACAGAAUCCUGCCCUGACCCUUAUUUGCACCUUUCUUCUUUGCCUUUUGAUGAUCUGAAAAUCUCCAGGAAACCACAGCAGUGUACUGACUGAAGACUGGACAGGGCCCCCACCUCUUUCUACUUGGAAGCUAGGGCCACAGCUGAUACAACUGGGACUCAAAACUGUGCUCCUUUACUGGCUAGUGUAGUCCUAAGUUACAGGAAGAAUAAGGAGAAAUGGACCAACACAGGUUCUGAUGAUUAUAAAUUCGAAGCAAGUACUUCCUGUAAGUGAGAUGGCUAUUAAAAUCUUAAACAUGGCUAUAAAUUGCAAUUUGUGCUGGGAAGGGAAGAACUAGCAGGGAGAAGGAAAAUAAAGUGGGUGGAGGACCAUGCUUUGGGUGGCCAAGGGAACUUCAGAUUCUUAUUAUAUAAAUCAGGACAUAGGAUGUGCAAAGAAAGGGACAGAGCAUUAAGAGCAGGAAGAGAAAGCAAGCCAGCAGGAUUCUACAGGUUGGGUGAGUGGCUGAGAGAUCAUUGUUAAAAAAUGGAAAACUAGCCGGGCGGUGGUGGCGCACGCCUUUAAUCCUAGCACUCGGGAGGCAGAGCCAGGCGGAUCUCUGUGAGU